AAGUCGUAACAAGGUUUCCGUAGGUGAACCUGCGGAAGGAUCAUUAAAGAGAAAAGGGCGUUCGGUCCCGUGACCUCAACCCCUUUGUUUACCUUACCACUGUUGCCUCGGCUGGGUCGGUCGGACGCCCCUUUACGGGGCGCCGCCGUCGGCCUUCAAACGCUUUCGAGUGCCCGCCGCCAGGCCCAAUCUAAAAUUCUUUGUAAACCCAGUACUUUCUGAGAGCAAAUUUAAUACUUCAAAA
This 244-nucleotide unclassified non-coding RNA is filed under the name plant metagenome. Its description in RNAcentral is "partial contains small subunit ribosomal RNA and internal transcribed spacer 1". The stretch from base 1 to 46 matches the Rfam family "Eukaryotic small subunit ribosomal RNA", at positions 1786 to 1831 of the family's 1831-position model. The record is from RNAcentral.